Molecule: ribosomal RNA, 417 nt
Filed under: uncultured bacterium
Lineage: Bacteria
Description: bacterial SSU rRNA
Rfam family: Bacterial small subunit ribosomal RNA
Source: RNAcentral
ACUCCUACGGGAGGCAGCAGUGGGGAAUAUUGCACAAUGGGCGGAAGCCUGAUGCAGCAACGCCGCGUGCGGGAUGACGGCCUUCGGGUUGUAAAACCGCUUUCGCCUGUGACGAAGCGUGAGUGACGGUAAUGGGUAAAGAAGCACCGGCUAACUACGUGCCAGCAGCCGCGGUAAUACGUAGGGUGCAAGCGUUAAUCGGAAUUACUGGGCGUAAAGCGUGCGCAGGCGGUUUGGCUAAAGACCGAUGUGAAAUCCCCGGGCUCAACCUGGGAACUGCAUUGGUGACUGGCAGGCUAGAGUAUGGCAGAGGGGGUAGAAUUCCACGUGUAGCAGUGAAAUGCGUAGAGAUGUGGAGGAAUACCGAUGGCGAAGGCAGCCCCCUGGGCCAAUACUGACGCUCAUGCACGAAAGCGU